GAAUUGUUGUUUUUAUGGGACAACCAGUCCGAUUAUACAGCACGCACUUGUUUUACUGCCCCGUGCUCUCUGUGCCCUCUCCCCAGGUGCAGGAGUUAGAGAUGUUCACCAUGGUUCUAUUUCCUGUCCAACCCAAAAGCAGUGAGGGACUAGAGGCCUGCUCACGGAUGCCUCUCUGCUGUGUCAACGAGUAAUCCACCAGCAGGACUCCUCUGAUCUUUGUUCGGUCUCCUGGGGUGGACCCCACCUGGGCCCUGCUGCAGCUGGCUGAAGCCUCUGGCAUGAGCAAGCACUUCCACACUCUCUCUCUGGGCCAGGAACAGACCCCCAUCACCAAGAGCAUGAACGAAAAGGUUUGUGUAUAUUACACAUCACUCCAGCACGGAGUUGUAAAUACUAAGACCACAUCUAGGGAGUUGGAAGGUCUCCACAUCUAGGAUCCACAUCCUGGAUGCCUGGGUUGGACAAGAUGAUGGAUCAGCUACUGUAAAGGUGCAAUA
Lates calcarifer (barramundi perch) is the source of this 500-nucleotide long non-coding RNA. RefSeq lists it as uncharacterized. The record is from RefSeq and is a predicted model, not a curated record. The transcript is spliced from 3 exons. Lineage: Eukaryota; Metazoa; Chordata; Actinopteri; Centropomidae.